AAAGGAGAGUGCACUUGAUUGUGGCUCCCAAUUUUUUCAAACCCAUCACCC
RNAcentral lists this ribosomal RNA (51 nucleotides) under Cephalotelium evansii. Its description in RNAcentral is "Ravenelia evansii partial 18S ribosomal RNA". The record is from RNAcentral. Lineage: Eukaryota; Fungi; Basidiomycota; Pucciniomycetes; Pucciniales; Raveneliaceae.